Molecule: long non-coding RNA, 527 nt
Organism: Nematostella vectensis (starlet sea anemone)
Lineage: Eukaryota; Metazoa; Cnidaria; Anthozoa; Actiniaria; Edwardsiidae
Exons: 3
Source: RefSeq, a predicted model, not a curated record
GAGGCUUGGUUGGUAAACACCACGAGCCAUAAUGUAGCAUUGUUUUCGGUUUCGAGGCUUGCCCGGGCAUAUAUAUAGUGUCUUUUUCGAUUCUCAGUUGUCAGUGCACUCAGCUUUUGCACAGAUUUCAAGCCCGGCUUUGGAAUCCAGUUGAGAAUUUGUAUUGAGCAAUGGCCUCCAAGAUAUUCAUGUUGCUUGCUAUCAUGGUUCUUGCAUUCGCCGCUUUGACAUCUCCUGGCGAGGGUGCUUCGGUAUCCUUCAAGCUCACUGAAGAUGUGUCUGAUCCGUCAGCAAGUGGCUGUUUUGGUUUGUGCCCCAGUUUCUGUACCGGAGGUUGCCAUUGCUACUGCGUCCCCAACAGAGGCGGGGCGAUGUGCCACUGGGUGUGUAACUUUGGACGCCGAUAGUUUGCAGCAGAAAUAGAUAAUACCAGAAAAUUUGAUUCAAAGAAAAGCUACGCAUGUAUUGUAAGGAUAAAAACUAAACAAGAUAAGAAUACAUAAAUAAAUAGUAAUUUUUAUAUUCAA